GGCGCGUUGGCCGAGGAGUUAGGCAAAGCUCUGCAAAAGCUUCAACACGAGUGCAACUCUCGUACGCGCCUCCA
Molecule: transfer RNA, 74 nt
Filed under: Candidatus Saccharimonadota bacterium
Lineage: Bacteria; Candidatus Saccharimonadota
Description: tRNA-Cys
Rfam family: tRNA
About the family: Transfer RNA (tRNA) molecules are approximately 80 nucleotides in length. Their secondary structure includes four short double-helical elements and three loops (D, anti-codon, and T loops).
Source: RNAcentral